CCUACGGGAGGCAGCAGUGGGGAAUAUUGCACAAUGGGGGAAACCCUGAUGCAGCGACGCCGCGUGAGUGAUGAAGUAUUUCGGUAUGUUAAGCUCUAUCAGCAGGGAAGUUAAUGACGGUACCUGACUCAGAAGCUCCGGCUAAAUACGUGCCAGCAGCCGCGGUAAUACGUAUGGAGCAAGCGUUAUCCGGAUUUACUGGGUGUAAAGGGAGCGCAGACGGCAUGGCAAGUCUGAUGUGAAAGUCCGGGGCUCAACCCUGGGACUGCAUUGGAAACUGUCCGGCUAGAGUGCAGGAGAGGUAAGUGGAAUUCCUAGUGUAGCGGUGAAAUGCGUAGAUAUUAGGAGGAACACCAGUGGCGAAGGCGGCUUACUGGACUGUAACUGACGUUGAGGCUCGAAAGCGUGGGGAGCAAACAGGAUUAGAUACCCCUGUAGUC
RNAcentral lists this ribosomal RNA (440 nucleotides) under uncultured bacterium. RNAcentral describes it as "partial 16S ribosomal RNA". It matches the Rfam family "Bacterial small subunit ribosomal RNA", at positions 338 to 795 of the family's 1533-position model. The record is from RNAcentral.